GACGAACGCUGGCGGUGUGCUUAACACAUGCAAGUCGAACGGAAAGGCCCUGCUUUUGUGGGGUGCUCGAGUGGCGAACGGGUGAGUAACACGUGAGUAACCUGCCCUUGACUUUGGGAUAACUUCAGGAAACUGGGGCUAAUACCGGAUAGGAGCUCCUGCUGCAUGGUGGGGGUUGGAAAGUUUCGGCGGUUGGGGAUGGACUCGCGGCUUAUCAGCUUGUUGGUGGGGUAGUGGCUUACCAAGGCUUUGACGGGUAGCCGGCCUGAGAGGGUGACCGGCCAAAUUGGGAAUGGAAUCCGGCCCAGGCUCCUGCGGGGGGCAGCAGUGGGGAAUAUGGCACAAGGGGGGGAAGCCUGAUGCAGCAACGCCGCGGGCGGGAUGACGGCCUUCGGGUUGUAAACCGCUUUCGCCUGUGACGAAGCGUGAGUGACGGUAAUGGGUAAAGAAGCACCGGCUAACUACGU
Molecule: ribosomal RNA, 467 nt
Filed under: uncultured bacterium
Lineage: Bacteria
Description: partial 16S ribosomal RNA
Rfam family: Bacterial small subunit ribosomal RNA
Source: RNAcentral